AAACAGCAGUAAAACAAAAACAAAGACAAAAAUAAAAACAAAAACAAAAACAAAACAAUAGAGCAUUAGUAACUCUAGCAGAAAUAGCGUAAAUAGCGUGAAUAAUUAUCUAAACAUACGAAACAUAAAUACAAUCGCCUGCAAUAAUAUCAUACAGUAACUACCAUAACUAACAGCCAUAGGGGGGACAUACUCUAAAACACAAAUCAUCUAUGGGUAACCCUGCUGACCCACACCCAACCCCGGAUGAGGCGUACGAAAAACUUUAGGAGCCCCUAUCCUACAACCCUGAUUCUAGACCUCCAGACUUUUCUAUCAAGGGUCAUGUCCUCGAAAACCCGCAUUCUAGCCAUGUCAUACCUAAUCACCUCUCCCUAAUACCUCUUAGACCUCCCUCUGCCUCGCCUCACGCCGACCACC
Molecule: long non-coding RNA, 420 nt
Filed under: Nicotiana benthamiana
Lineage: Eukaryota; Viridiplantae; Streptophyta; Magnoliopsida; Solanales; Solanaceae
Description: long non-coding RNA (NBEN_LNC010562)
Source: RNAcentral